RNAcentral lists this ribosomal RNA (440 nucleotides) under uncultured bacterium. RNAcentral describes it as "partial 16S ribosomal RNA". It matches the Rfam family "Bacterial small subunit ribosomal RNA", at positions 338 to 795 of the family's 1533-position model. The record is from RNAcentral.
CCUACGGGGAGCAGCAGUGGGGAAUAUUGCACAAUGGGGGAAACCCUGAUGCAGCGACGCCGCGUGAGUGAAGAAGUAAUUCGUUAUGUAAAGCUCUUUCAGCAGGGAAGAAAAUGACGGUACUGGGGUAAGAAGCCCGGCCUAACUCGGUGCAAGCAGCCGAGGCAAUACGUAGGGGGAAAGCGUGAUCCGGAGUUACUGGGUGUAAGGGGAGGGUAGAGGGCAGUGCAAGUCGGUAGUGAAAGGGGGGGGCUCAACCCCCGGACUGCACUGGAAACUGUACGGCUAGAGUGCAGUAGAGGUAAGUGGAAUUCCUAGUGUAGCGGUGAAAUGCGUAGAGAUUAGGAGGAACACCAGUGGCGAAGGCGGCUUACUGGACUGUAACUGACGUUGAGGCUCGAAAGCGUGGGGAGCAAACAGGAUUAGAUACCCUUGUAGUC